RNAcentral lists this long non-coding RNA (219 nucleotides) under Lathyrus oleraceus (garden pea). RNAcentral's name for it is "Pisum sativum (pea) long non-coding RNA (PSAT_LNC022955)". Lineage: Eukaryota; Viridiplantae; Streptophyta; Magnoliopsida; Fabales; Fabaceae. The record is from RNAcentral.
GAGAAUGUUCAUAUUUGAUGAGAUAUGAUAAUAGAUAUUUUUUUGUUUACUUUAUAAUUUAUUUUAUAGAGUUGAAUGGAACAAAACUCUAAUUCUAAUAUAUAUUGUUACAAUUUAUUUAAAAUUUAUCAAAUUACAUAAUAUCAGAUUAUUAGUGUUACACUCUUAUAAUUUAACAAAUCACAAAAAAUAAGGAUAUUUUGGUAUUUUCACUUAUUG